AAUCUCACAGACAGCAGUAGGACACAGCCUGUACACCAAGCUCGGGAGGAGCUGGGCAGACUCCGUUUACAGAAGAGUGAAGAGGAAAUCAGAAUAUUCUCAGAUGAAGAAAAGCAGAGAAUUUGUCAUUGGGAGACCUGCCCUAAAAGAAUGGCCCUAAUGGAAGUUCCUAAAAAAAGAGGAGACACUGAUAAAAAAAAAAAAAAAAAAAAAAAAAAAAACUUGAAGUAUUAUAAAAGUAUCAUAAAGAAAGAGGAGCAGGAGCAUACAGAAACUACUGAGAGAUACAUUAUCUGAGAUCCAUAUCAAGCACAUAAAAGAUUGAGAAAAAUAAUGCAAUAAAUGUAAUUCUUAAAUAACAGAUAAAUGCUACUUGCCCUCAAAAGAAGGAUUAAGAGGGGGAGGAGGAAGAGCUGCAAGUGGUGCCGUGUCACCUCUGAAAGCACCACCCUGGAGGCCCCGUGAUUUAUAAGGACAGUAGUUAAUAGUUUCUGUCA
This 497-nucleotide long non-coding RNA is filed under the name Pongo abelii (Sumatran orangutan). Its description in RNAcentral is "lincRNA". Lineage: Eukaryota; Metazoa; Chordata; Mammalia; Primates; Hominidae. The record is from RNAcentral.